Molecule: unclassified non-coding RNA, 207 nt
Filed under: uncultured fungus
Lineage: Eukaryota; Fungi
Description: sequence contains ITS1
Source: RNAcentral
UUGAUUCAUUUGUUUAUGAUUCCACUCAGACAUGCCAGUAACAAAAAAUACAAGAGUUUGGGUCCCCCGGCGGGCGCCUGGUUCCGGCGGCUUCUUAGGGCCUUCCGGGGCGUUAGCCCGCCGAAGCAACGGUAAAGGUAUAAGUUCACAGGGGUUUGGGAGUUGUAAGACUCGGUAAUGAUCCCUCCGCUGGUUCACCAACGGAGA